UACGGAGGAUCCAAGCGUUAUCCGGAAUCAUUGGGGUUAAAGGGUCCGUAGGCGGUUUAAUAAGUCAGUGGUGAAAGCCCAUCGCUCAACGGUGGAACGGCCAUUGAUACUGUUAAACUUGAAUUAUUAGGAAGUAACUAGAAUAUGUAGUGUAGCGGUGAAAUGCUUAGAGAUUACAUGGAAUACCAAUUGCGAAGGCAGGUUACUACUAAUGGAUUGACGCUGAUGGACGAAAGCGUGGGUAGCGAACAGG
Molecule: ribosomal RNA, 253 nt
Filed under: uncultured bacterium
Lineage: Bacteria
Description: partial 16S ribosomal RNA
Rfam family: Bacterial small subunit ribosomal RNA
Source: RNAcentral